AGCGCGGAUGGGUGAGUAACACGUGGGUAAUCUGCCCUGCACAGGGGGAUAACAGCUGGAAACGGCUGUUAAUACCGCAUAUGCACACGUUAUCGCAUGAUAGAGUGUGAAAGAUUUUAUCGGUGCAGGAUGAGCCCGCGUCGGAUUAACUAGUUGGCAGGGUAACGGCCUACCAAGGUGAUGAUCCGUAGCCGGCCUGAGAGGGCGACCGGCCACAUUGGGACUGAGACACGGCCCAAACUCCUACGGGAGGCAGCAGUGGGGAAUAUUGCACAAUGGGCGCAAGCCUGAUGCAGCGACGCCGCGUGAAGGAAGACGUAUUUCGGUAUGUAAACUUCUAUCAGCGGGGAAGAAGAUGACGGUACCCGACUAAGAAGCCCCGGCUAACUACGUGCCAGCCGCCGC
RNAcentral lists this ribosomal RNA (405 nucleotides) under uncultured bacterium. Its description in RNAcentral is "bacterial SSU rRNA". It matches the Rfam family "Bacterial small subunit ribosomal RNA", at positions 95 to 518 of the family's 1533-position model. The record is from RNAcentral.